UCAGGACGGCUACCAGACCAUGGGCAGCUCUAGCCACAAGGAGGGUGGCUUUACAAUGUUGGGGUUGUGUGGUCCAGCUUGGCUGCUGUUCACCCUCCAGAUGCCACCCAGACACUAGGUCACAAGGACUCUGAGGUUCCCCAAAGUCUGAGUGUUCUGCUCCCAGCCUACUUUUAGGUGGCGAGGACUGGGGUGUAGCAGUAGAGGGAAGCUAAAAGAAUAGGUAGUCCUGUGUCUCAUCGUGAACUGGCUUUCCGAAGAUCAUGACUAACUGCGUCCACCACGGCAUUGCGCUCUGUUCUGAGGUACCGCAAUGAGAAAGUGCCUUUGUGUAAAGCUCCCAGGAAGAGUGGCGCAUCAAUCAGAAGCAGGCACCCAAGCCACCUCAAGGUGACCAAGAAACAGAAAAUCCCGUUUGGCCAAGGGCAGGAGAACACAGAGCUCUGAGCUUUGUCAGAGUUUGCCAUGAGAAACAGCAUGGCGAGUCUACUAAAUCGAUACAGAAUUGAAUGUAGGGUCUUGAACACAUGUCUACACUCAUUCCCAUAGCUCAAGGAGGGAGAGUGAUCAGUGUCUAUGGACAGGCAAGUGGGUGAGCAAGGACGCAUCUGUGCAGGGGUAUGAUUCAGUCUCAAGGAGGAAAGAAACUGUGACACAUGCUAUCUGGAUGAAGCUGAUGACUUAAUGCUACCCAGAUUACACCAGUCACAAAAGGAAAGAGCUAUUCCUCAGCAGAUUCCUUCUCCCCUCCCUGUGCCCAGUUGUUUCAGAGAGCCUCGCAGAAGCAAACACAAGUAAGAGCAGAGGGAAGAGGGAGAAGUCACAGCCCAGAAGGACAUCUAGAGCCCAGUCAGAAUAAGAAGCCUCAAAGGAUGCUUCAGGCCUCUGUCUCCCAGCACCAGCAGGCAGCCUGAAAAUUGGGUUAGAGCAAGGGGCAAAUUAUGGCUAUUAAAAAAGACAUUGUUGUGAGCCAUGUAAAAUAUGUUCUGACUUAAACAAGACCAGCAUUUUAACAUUUAAAAACAAGGCCAGUGUAUUGAAAGGAAUCUCUCUCUACUACAAAAUUGUAAGAGGCGAUGGGGAAAAGUCACCAGGAAGAGGUGAUGGCACAAUAAAAACAAUUAGUGGGUUCCUGCAGUGCGAUGACAGAAAGGACAACUGAGGCCCCAGAGAAAUAAGAUUAGCCGGAGGGUGUAGAAUGGUGUGAUGUCCGUACCCCUCCCCCCACACUGGGAUCUGGAUAUAGACGACACCUCACUGAGGCGCCCCAUUCUUCUUAGGACUUUAA
This 1288-nucleotide small RNA is filed under the name Rattus norvegicus (Norway rat). RNAcentral describes it as "uncharacterized LOC108348555". The record is from RNAcentral. Lineage: Eukaryota; Metazoa; Chordata; Mammalia; Rodentia; Muridae.